GAUGAACGCUGGCGGCGUGCUUAACACAUGCAAGUCGAACGGAAAGGCCCAAGCUUGCUUGGGUACUCGAGUGGCGAACGGGUGAGUAACACGUGGGUGAUCUGCCCUGCACUUCGGGAUAAGCCUGGGAAACUGGGUCUAAUACCGGAUAGGACCACAUUUUGGAUGGUGUGGUGGAGAGUUUUUCGGUGUGGGAUGAGCUCGCGGCCUAUCAGCUUGUUGGUGGGGUAAUGGCCUACCAAGGCGUCGACGGGUAGCCGGCCUGAGAGGGUGUACGGCCACAUUGGGACUGAGAUACGGCCCAGACUCCUACGGGAGGCAGCAGUGGGGAAUAUUGCACAAUAGGCGCAAGCCUGAUGCAGCGACGCCGCGUGGGGGAUGACGGCCUUCGGGUUGUAAACUCCUUUCGCUAGGGACGAAGCGCAAGUGACGGUACCUGGAGAAGAAGCACCGGCUAACUACGUG
This 465-nucleotide ribosomal RNA is filed under the name uncultured bacterium. RNAcentral's name for it is "partial 16S ribosomal RNA". It matches the Rfam family "Bacterial small subunit ribosomal RNA", at positions 28 to 507 of the family's 1533-position model. The record is from RNAcentral.